CCCUGUUAUUCUAUUAUAAUAUAAUAUUUCAAAGAAAAAAAACAUAAUAAAUCUGACGGUAUUAACUUUUACAAAGGAAUUUGUUUCUUAAUCGAAAACACACGUAAAACCUUACUUAAUUCAAUAUUUGUAUACCACCGUAAUAGAAAUUAUUUAAAAUUAAUUUCAUUAUAAACAAUUUUAUAACAUCAGGUCAAGGUGCAAUUUAAUUAAGACGAAAUGAAUUACAUUUUAAAAUAAACAUAUAAAAGAUGAAACUCUUUUAAAAAAAGAAUUUGUUAGUAAAAUUUUAUAAUAAUGUUUUUUUGAAAAUUUACAUUAAUAUGUACAUAUCGCCCG
RNAcentral lists this ribosomal RNA (339 nucleotides) under Epiperipatus sp. ony135. RNAcentral describes it as "partial small subunit ribosomal RNA". Lineage: Eukaryota; Metazoa; Onychophora; Udeonychophora; Euonychophora; Peripatidae. The record is from RNAcentral.